UACGUAGGUGGCAAGCGUUGUCCGGAUUUACUGGGCGUAAAGGAUGCGUAGGCGGAUAUUUAAGUCAGAUGUGAAAUACCCGAGCUUAACUUGGGUGCUGCAUUUGAAACUGGAUAUCUAGAGUGUGGGAGAGGAAAGUGGAAUUCCUAGUGUAGCGGUGAAAUGCGUAGAGAUUAGGAAGAACACCAGUGGCGAAGGCGACUUUCUGGACCAUAACUGACGCUGAGGCAUGAA
RNAcentral lists this ribosomal RNA (234 nucleotides) under uncultured prokaryote. RNAcentral's name for it is "partial 16S ribosomal RNA". It matches the Rfam family "Bacterial small subunit ribosomal RNA", at positions 524 to 757 of the family's 1533-position model. The record is from RNAcentral.